GGGGAAUAUUGCACAAUGGGCGCAAGCCUGAUGCAGCCAUGCCGCGUGUAUGAAGAAGGCCUUCGGGUUGUAAAGUACUUUCAGCGAGGAGGAAGGCGUUAAGGUUAAUAACCUUAGCGAUUGACGUUACUCGCAGAAGAAGCACCGGCUAACUCCGUGCCAGCAGCCGCGGUAAUACGGAGGGUGCAAGCGUUAAUCGGAAUUACUGGGCGUAAAGCGCACGCAGGCGGUCUGUCAAGUCGGAUGUGAAAUCCCCGGGCUCAACCUGGGAACUGCAUUCGAAACUGGCAGGCUAGAGUCGUGUAGAGGGGGGUAGAAUUCCAGGUGUAGCGGUGAAAUGCGUAGAGAUCUGGAGGAAUACCGGUGGCGAAGGCGGCCCACUGGACAAAGACUGACGCUCAGGGGCGAAAGCGUGGGGAGCAAAC
This 425-nucleotide ribosomal RNA is filed under the name uncultured bacterium. RNAcentral's name for it is "bacterial SSU rRNA". It matches the Rfam family "Bacterial small subunit ribosomal RNA", at positions 356 to 773 of the family's 1533-position model. The record is from RNAcentral.